GCCGUGAUAGCUCAGUUGGGAGAGCGUUAGACUGAAGAUCUAAAGGUCCCCGGUUCGAUCCCGGGUCGCGGCA
RNAcentral lists this transfer RNA (73 nucleotides) under Mesoflavibacter zeaxanthinifaciens. It matches the Rfam family "tRNA". Rfam says of the family: Transfer RNA (tRNA) molecules are approximately 80 nucleotides in length. Their secondary structure includes four short double-helical elements and three loops (D, anti-codon, and T loops). RNAcentral also lists the same sequence under 6 other names. The record is from RNAcentral. Lineage: Bacteria; Pseudomonadati; Bacteroidota; Flavobacteriia; Flavobacteriales; Flavobacteriaceae.